GAUGAACGCUGGCGGCGUGCCUAAUACAUGCAAGUCGAGCGAACAGACGAGGAGCUUGCUCCUCUGACGUUAGCGGCGGACGGGUGAGUAACACGUGGAUAACCUACCUAUAAGACUGGGAUAACUUCGGGAAACCGGAGCUAAUACCGGAUAAUAUAUUGAACCGCAUGGUUCAAUAGUGAAAGACGGUUUUGCUGUCACUUAUAGAUGGAUCAGCGCCGCAUUAGCUAGUUGGUAAGGUAACGGCUUACCAAGGCAACGAUGCGUAGCCGACCUGAGAGGGUGAUCGGCCACACCGGAGCUGAGACACGGUCCAGACUCCUACGGGAGGCAGCAGUAGGGACUAUUCCGCGAUGGGCGAAAGCAUGACGGAGCAACGCCGCGUGAGUGAUGAAGGUCUUCGGAUCGUAAAACUCUGUUAUUAGGGAAGAACAAAUGUGUAAGUAACUAUGCACGUCUUGACGGUACCUAAUCAGAAAGCCACGGCUAACUACGUG
RNAcentral lists this ribosomal RNA (497 nucleotides) under uncultured bacterium. RNAcentral's name for it is "partial 16S ribosomal RNA". It matches the Rfam family "Bacterial small subunit ribosomal RNA", at positions 28 to 507 of the family's 1533-position model. The record is from RNAcentral.